Molecule: ribosomal RNA, 377 nt
Filed under: uncultured bacterium
Lineage: Bacteria
Description: bacterial SSU rRNA
Rfam family: Bacterial small subunit ribosomal RNA
Source: RNAcentral
AUACAGAGGGGGCAAGCGUUGUUCGGAAUUACUGGGCGUAAAGGGCGCGUAGGCGGCCUGCUAAGUCGAACGUGAAAUCCCUGGGCUCAACCCAGGAACUGCGUCCGAUACUGGUUGGCUUGAAUCCGGGAGAGGGAUGCGGAAUUCCAGGUGUAGCGGUGAAAUGCGUAGAUAUCUGGAGGAACACCGGUGGCGAAGGCGGCAUCCUGGACCGGCAUUGACGCUGAGGCGCGAAAGCCAGGGGAGCAAACGGGAUUAGAUACCCCGGUAGUCCUGGCCCUAAACGAUGAAUGCUUGGUGUGGCGGGUAUCGAGCCCUGCCGUGCCGAAGCUAACGCAUUAAGCAUUCCGCCUGGGGAGUACGGUCGCAAGGCUGAA